UAGUCCACGCCGUAAACGAUGUCUACUUGGAGGUUGUGGCCUUGAGCCGUGGCUUUCGGAGCUAACGCGUUAAGUUGACCGCCUGGGGACUACGGCCGCAAGGCUAAAACUCAAAGGAAUUGACGGGGACCCGCACAAGCGGUGGAGCAUGUGGCUUAAUUCGAUGCAACGCGAAGAACCUUACCCAGGCUUGACAUGCUUGUCGUAUUCUCCCGAAACGGAGAAGUCAGUUCGGCUGGACAAUGCACAGGUGCUGCAUGGCUGUCGUCAGCUCGUGCCGUGAGGUGUUGGGUUAAGUCCCGCAACGAGCGCAACCCUUGUCGUUAGUUGCCAUCAGGGAGUGAUCCGCUGGGCACUCUAACGNGACUGCCGGUGAUAAGCCGGAGGAAGGUGGGGGAUGACGUCAAGUCAGUAUGGGCCCUUAUGCCUGGGGGCUGCACACGUGCUACAAU
This 452-nucleotide ribosomal RNA is filed under the name uncultured bacterium. RNAcentral describes it as "bacterial SSU rRNA". It matches the Rfam family "Bacterial small subunit ribosomal RNA", at positions 791 to 1231 of the family's 1533-position model. The record is from RNAcentral.